This 656-nucleotide long non-coding RNA is filed under the name Gallus gallus (chicken). RNAcentral's name for it is "long non-coding RNA NONGGAT009051". The record is from RNAcentral. Lineage: Eukaryota; Metazoa; Chordata; Aves; Galliformes; Phasianidae.
AGAAGACUCCAGAGUGAAGAUCAGCAGGAGGGAAGAGCCUAGUUUCUGACCUGUUUUUACCACAGAGCUUGUCUGUAUCCUAAUCCUUGGCCUGAGCAGCCUGACAUAGAACCUUCACACAUCUCUGCCUUACGGAUCUGUGAAACAGGAGCCACGAGUGCCAGAAAUAUCAUCUUCGUCCAACCUGUUGUCUGGAAUUGUGCUAUGUGUUACAGAACUGUGCUUGGUCAGUGUGCAACUGUGGGAGCAAUUGUGUGUCUCUUCUAAAAUGGGCAGCUCUGCAGUGUCAGCUCAACCUUCUCCGCUGCCUCCUGUCCAGAUGUGGAGAAGAUUCAGGUUUGGGUGAGAGGUAGGGGUGGGGAGAAAGAGAAUUUAGCUUAUUCUAGGAGGCAGGAUCCACAACUUCUGUACCUCCAGGUGCAGAUACUUUAUAAGCGCAUGUCAGAAAUGGCACUUGCCACCCUCCAAGUAGCUCUCACUGCACUAAUAGCAGAGAUGUGGCAGAACGCAGCCACUAACUUUGGUACUUUUCCUGCUGGUUUGCUCAUAGAAUCAUAGAAUCAUAGAAUCUCUAGGUUGGAAAGGACCUAUAAGAUCAUCUAGUCCAACUGUCCUCCCAUUACCCUUGCUACCACAAGCCCCUAAACUGUAUCAUC